CAAAGGUGCAUUGUAGUCGCAUUGUCUGUGCUGUUUUCGUUGCUGUUGGUAUUCAGCCAGUACUUCUGCAAUGCAAACUUUG
This 82-nucleotide microRNA precursor is filed under the name Musca domestica (house fly). Its description in RNAcentral is "mir-33 microRNA precursor family". It matches the Rfam family "mir-33 microRNA precursor family". The record is from Rfam by way of RNAcentral. Lineage: Eukaryota; Metazoa; Arthropoda; Insecta; Diptera; Muscidae.